This 520-nucleotide ribosomal RNA is filed under the name uncultured bacterium. Its description in RNAcentral is "bacterial SSU rRNA". It matches the Rfam family "Bacterial small subunit ribosomal RNA", at positions 8 to 518 of the family's 1533-position model. The record is from RNAcentral.
AGAGUUUGAUCCUGGCUCAGGAUGAACGCUAGCUACAGGCUUAACACAUGCAAGUCGAGGGGCACAGGACGAUAGCUUGCUAUUGUGCUGGCGACCGGCGCACGGGUGAGUAACGCGUAUCCCAACCCUCCCCUUAGUAGGGCAUAGCCCGGCGAAAGUCGGAUUAAUACCCUAUGUUAUCCGAAGAGGACAUCUGAAUUGGAUUAAAGAUUUAUCGCUAACGGAUGAGGAUGCGUCCGAUUAGCUUGUUGGCGGGUAACGGCCCACCAAGGCGACGAUCGGUAGGGGCUCUGAGAGGAGGAUCCCCCACAUUGGAACUGAGACACGGUCCAAACUCCUACGGGAGGCAGCAGUGAGGAAUAUUGGUCAAUGGGCGAGAGCCUGAACCAGCCAAGUAGCGUGAAGGGAUGACUGCCCUAUGGGUUGUAAACCUCUUUUGUUUGGGAAUAAAGCGGGCCACGCGUGGCCUUUUGUAUGUACCUUACGAAUAAGCAUCGGCUAAUUCCGUGCCAGCAGCUGC